GACGAACCACCCAAACGUUAUUCGGAAUUACUGGGCUUAAAGGGUGCGUAGGCGGUGCGGAAAGUUGGGUGUGAAAUACCUCAGCUUAACUGAGGAAUGGCGCUCAAAACUACCGUGCUCGAGGGAGAUAGAGGUGAGCGGAACUUAGGGUGGAGCGGUGAAAUGCGUUGAUAUCCUAAGGAACACCGGUGGCGAAAGCGGCUCACUGGAUCUCUUCUGACGCUGAUGCACGAAAGCUAGGGGAGCAAACGGG
This 253-nucleotide ribosomal RNA is filed under the name uncultured bacterium. Its description in RNAcentral is "partial 16S ribosomal RNA". It matches the Rfam family "Bacterial small subunit ribosomal RNA", at positions 524 to 776 of the family's 1533-position model. The record is from RNAcentral.